RNAcentral lists this ribosomal RNA (492 nucleotides) under uncultured bacterium. RNAcentral describes it as "partial 16S ribosomal RNA". It matches the Rfam family "Bacterial small subunit ribosomal RNA", at positions 29 to 507 of the family's 1533-position model. The record is from RNAcentral.
AGUGAACGCUGGCGGUAGGCCUAACACAUGCAAGUCGAACGGCAGCACAGUAAGAGCUUGCUCUUACGGGUGGCGAGUGGCGGACGGGUGAGGAAUACAUCGGAAUCUACUUUUUCGUGGGGGAUAACGUAGGGAAACUUACGCUAAUACAGCAUACGACCUACGGGUGAAAGCAGGGGAUCUUCGGACCUUGCGCGAUUGAAUGAGCCGAUGUCGGAUUAGCUAGUUGGCGGGGUAAAGGCCCACCAAGGCGACGAUCCGUAGCUGGUCUGAGAGGAUGAUCAGCCGCACUGGAACUGAGACACGGUCCAGACUCCUACGGGAGGCAGCAGUGGGGAAUAUUGGACAAUGGGCGCAAGCCUGAUCCAGCCAUACCGCGUGGGUGAAGAAGGCCUUCGGGUUGUAAAGCCCUUUUGUUGGGAAAGAAAAGCAGCAGGUUAAUACCCCGCUGUUCUGACGGUACCCAAAGAAUAAGCACCGGCUAACUUCGUG